Erinaceus europaeus (western European hedgehog) is the source of this 67-nucleotide non-coding RNA. The record is from Rfam. NCBI's taxonomy places the organism in Eukaryota, Metazoa, Chordata, Mammalia, Eulipotyphla, Erinaceidae.
UUUCUAUAAAGAAUCAAACUAGCUCACUGUGAUUUAUACAGUGAAAAAAUGUGAACACCUGAGAAAC